Strongylocentrotus purpuratus (purple sea urchin) is the source of this 2116-nucleotide long non-coding RNA. RefSeq lists it as uncharacterized. The record is from RefSeq and is a predicted model, not a curated record. The transcript is spliced from 2 exons. NCBI's taxonomy places the organism in Eukaryota, Metazoa, Echinodermata, Echinoidea, Camarodonta, Strongylocentrotidae.
GAUAUGCGCCCUCCUUCAUUUCGAGUUGAUAAACAUUUAUUUUUCUUUGCAUGUCACCAAAUUCAAGGAAUAUUUGCUCCCCCUCUUUUUAAUUAAAUGCUGGAUCCGUCCCUAAUCCGGGAAGGAGGAAAUAGGUGUCGAGCUGAUAAAAGAAUUCUGUAGUUUGGUUUCAAUCAUUUCGGAGAGAAACAGUUGACGGCGAGAAGACUCCACUCUGUUUGAAAAAUCAUCACUUUAUCAGCACCAAAUAAUUGCGGUUAAGAGCGACCAGUCAAACUUGCUCGGAAAAGAUGAAGUUGACAAUUUGUUUCAUCAUAUCGGCGAUCUUUUUCACGCCAAUCCUCGGGUGGCCAUGGAUCACAGCGUUUCAUCAUUAUAUCCCCUACCGGGAAGGACCAGGUUCCCUAGUCACUCACCUUUCAAUCAAUUUUGACAAUUUCGGCUGUAACGUCCGUAACCUUCCUGAUAAAUCGCUAGAAGUUUUGUGGAGAUCGUUGUGGAAACGAGAUAUUCGCCUCGGAUCCUGGAAAAAGGAGCAUUCCAUGGUCUACUUCAGAGGAAAGACCUAUGAGUUCACUGCAGAUAAUGUGAGACAUUACGGAGGAGGAAUAGGGAGAUAUAACACCCUCAGCUGCCCAGUGAAACGGUCCAAUGCCGGACACAGCCUCUGCACAGCGAGUCAGGCGACAGCGCUGGCGGAGUCGUAUCAUAACACCCAUUCUUACAAUGUAUUGACAGACAACUGUCAUUGGUUCGCUGAGUGGCUAAUCAAUAGACUAUUGAACAAUGAAUGUAGAGUAUAGUGAGUGGCAUAUGAAAGAGAGUUCGUAUUAUGACUAUGAGAUUCCGUGGAAGAAGAGAAUAAUCGAAUAUAUUACCUGUAAGUGUAAACAGGUUAAUGUAAAAAAGCAAAGACGAACAAAGAUGGGAUCAAGAAUCCACAUAUAUUGAUUAGAAAUAAAACAUAACAAGUAAGUUUCCAAAUAAGGAAAAAGGAUAUAUAUAUAUAUAUAUUUUUUUUUAUAUAGGCCUACAUCUAUUUGAAAUAAUCUCUUAAGAAGAAAAAAGGAGCUUUUCAAUAAUCAAGUUAGCUUUAGUUUUGCUUUUUGCCCCGUCAAUUUUUUCGUUAUGUACCAUAACCGUCGUUCUUGUAUGAAAUGAAACGAUGGAAGAAAAAGAAACAACGACAACAACAGUAACGAAAGGAAAUAAGAGCCAAUAUGUUUGAGAAGGAAUUCGAAUAUAAAACUAUCAUUUUAGAGAAAUACUCCCUGAAAAGUACAUAAUAUGUUUAUUAUAUACGUCAGGCGAGGAUAUGACAUAACCAUUCGUUAUUCGUUUAAUUAGGACAGUAAAAAUACUAUGUACAUCUAUAUGCCUAUAUUCAAGCUUUGCAUUUAUUGAUAUAGAUUUCUCCAUACUGUAUGUUUUUUUGUAUAGAAGAGCAUCGUCUACUUGUAUCGUCUAAUCUUAGGAGAAUACAGUUUAUUUUAUAAUACAUUGAUAUGCAUCAAAUUCGUAUUUGUAUAAUUUUUUUCAUUCUAAUUUUUUAAUCACCAUGAUUCUUUUAUUAUAUUGUUACAUUUCUUGAAAGUGUCAAGAAUUAAAAAAAAAAAUACAUUAAACAAAUAUGUAUGUUUUGAUCUUAAUUGGACUUGAAAAUAAAUGCUACUUGAUACGUGAUAAACAUGUACUCGUAUAAAGUAGCACAUUGUUUUGUAAAGUUAGUGAGAAAAAACAUCAUAAUGAUUUUGUUAAUAGGCACCAAUAGCUUCAUAAUAAAUUACGUAAGCUUAACCGAAUCAACAUUCACUUUUGAAUAAGGUAACAGAUUAUUCUUAUGUCUCAUUUUCUGCUUUAUAUUACUAUUACCGCUUUUUUUUAAAUUUUCAAUGGUGUCAAGUAUUUUUACAUGUCAAGUUCAUGUGUAAACUUAACUUAAUAAUUUACAUUAGGCUAUGAUUACAUGUUUUUAAGUGUAAAAUUAAAAAAAAUGACCUUACUCAUCUUAUUGUUAAUAGCCCUAUAUUUUGUUAGCAUGUUUUAUCAUAAAAUAAAGGAUACGUAAUUGAAAUAUAAAAUGUAAUGUAAGAUUAAAAUAAAGCAUGAGUUUAAC